CCCUGAGUAAUUUUUGGUUUACGCUGAAGAAGACUUGGCUGAAAGGCUGAGCGGUGUUCCUGAGGGGCUGGCUUUCCCCCUUUACAUCACCUAGGCACACAAGUGCAGUGGGAGCGAGUUUGAAUCACUUCAGAGGUUGUGGAACUCCAGUAAGCAGGCUGGCAAGGCUAUUUCAUUCACUUUAAACAUUGGAUGAAGUGAUUCUUUUCUCUAAUACAGAUAAUGCUGAAGCGAGAGACUGAGCCCCCAAGACAG
Molecule: long non-coding RNA, 255 nt
Organism: Etheostoma spectabile (orangethroat darter)
Lineage: Eukaryota; Metazoa; Chordata; Actinopteri; Perciformes; Percidae
Exons: 3
Source: RefSeq, a predicted model, not a curated record